AAAAAAAGGGGCGGUUUGACCCGCCCACAUUUUUCCCUAAUCCCUUUAAUCCUUUUCAUCAUCCUGAUGAAUCGCGUCCUGCGAUGUCCUU
Molecule: unclassified non-coding RNA, 91 nt
Filed under: Pseudomonas sp. S8-151
Lineage: Bacteria; Pseudomonadati; Pseudomonadota; Gammaproteobacteria; Pseudomonadales; Pseudomonadaceae
Description: partial regulatory RNA RsmZ
Source: RNAcentral